Molecule: non-coding RNA, 1214 nt
Organism: Microcebus murinus (gray mouse lemur)
Lineage: Eukaryota; Metazoa; Chordata; Mammalia; Primates; Cheirogaleidae
Source: RefSeq, a predicted model, not a curated record
UCCUGUCUAGAGCUCCCAAAGUGCUAGGAUUAUGGGUGUGAGCCACCUCGCCUGAACCUUCUUCCUCUUUUCCCAGGACUGAUUCAGCCAGGAGGUGUCCCCGAGGACUCCAUAUCAUCUAAGUCUCCCAAUUCUGCUCUUUGAGCCUCUAACUGGCCUGUUCCCUGGGAAGCCAAGAGGUUGUGGACAAUGACAAAAAUCCAGACUGCAUAGUGAAGAAGCUGAAGCUGAAGAAGAAACAGAUUCUAUUUGGUUGUAUACUUCCUAGCUAGACCUUAGUAACGGAAACAGAUUACUGAGACUACCCUGGAGUUUAUACCCUAACAAAAGGGCACUGCAAGAGAGUUAGCUGGCCGGAGCCAAGGUGGGCAGGGUGCAGAGCGGGGUAGGAAAGGAAGGGGAGGAGGAUGUCUUGGAACACCCUGCCUGGCAGUGUCUAGGGCAGAAGCACAGGAGCCCAGGGCAAGCCUUUCCUUCACCUCACACCACCCCUGGCGAUGAGUCAAAGUCUCUUGGAAACUGACCAAAUGGACUUUCCUCCUUGUCAGUAGUGUGGGCCUCUUGGGAGCACUCUCCUUCUGUGCACAGAAGGCUGGGUCCCUGACUGCUGAUGGGCAGGGUGGUGUGGACAAAAAGGCCUCAGCAGCAGUACUUGGACAAGGCUGGCUGGUGGGAAAAAUACCCUUGCUAUAGAGCAAACUACUAAGUUACUUAGUAAAUUUCAAAUGCUCCAAUGGCGUUUGGGCAACAUUAAAAAACUUAGCAUGGAGAAUCUUUCCUGAUUGCUACAGAAACCCACUUUUUGACUGAGGUUAAGAAAAUCAGUUGGUCUAUGCCGUUUCCCAGAGGGGACUGUGAAGCCCCAGGACACUGGACCCUGUUGUUGGCAGUCUCUCCAGACGUGAAAAAAAGUCAUAAACUAACUAUAAUUUUUUUGGACUAGAUAUACAGCCUUAAUAUAGAGAUUGUCCUACAAAGUCACCAAGCAAGUCAGCGUGGGAGAUGAAUAAUCAAGCCUGGUUGCCUGAGUUCUGGUGUCCUGUUACUUCUCUUUCUGCAUGGUGAAGACUAUUUACAAAGACAUUAUUAAAUCUCUUUAUUUGGAAGAAGCCACAGCAACAGAAAGGCUAACAAAGUCAAAACCUGGGCAUGCUCACAGUACAUCGCAGAACAUUGGGCCAUUCCUGACAAGAUCCUCUGGGUCUCCUCAGCAG